Molecule: unclassified non-coding RNA, 273 nt
Filed under: Hevea brasiliensis (rubber tree)
Lineage: Eukaryota; Viridiplantae; Streptophyta; Magnoliopsida; Malpighiales; Euphorbiaceae
Source: RNAcentral
UCAAAGAAAAAUUCUUUCUAUACAUCUUUUGAAUACUGUUUUUUGCACACAUAACUAACAAACUACCAAACCCGAUAUCGAGAAACCUAAAAUAUAUGGUGGUAAAGUUGGAAAGCAAAAGGACAUGAAUUAAUUUCUCCGAGAAAACAGCUUAUUUCAAAUCUUCUGAGCUAACCCAUCUAAAGCAAAUUUCAAAGAAAAUAAAAAGGGCCUGCGAAUGAAAUUAUAAGUAUCUAAUCAAAAGCUGCAAAUGACGGAAAUCACCUGUCCGAG